This 563-nucleotide long non-coding RNA is filed under the name Ananas comosus (pineapple). Its description in RNAcentral is "long non-coding RNA (ACOM_LNC043174)". Lineage: Eukaryota; Viridiplantae; Streptophyta; Magnoliopsida; Poales; Bromeliaceae. The record is from RNAcentral.
UUUAAUUCUCUCCAACAAGGUCGAUUGAACCACCAAUGCGGCAAGAAUAGCCGGCACCUCCGGAGCUACUACUUCCAAACCAAACUGUUGCAUCUCCUUUUGCAAUGAUGGUUGUGUUAGUUGUAUGCCCUAGAAGCCUAUCAGGCUGACGCAUUUUAUUUUCUAUGGGACAUAUUUUUGUACUUAAUCUUUAUAUAAUUGGGCCUUUUAUUCCAUUCAUGUUAAAUGUGUCCAUGAAUCGUCCUUUGAAUUAAUAAGAUGAUAAUCUGUAUUCUCAAGAGUUGAGAAUUUGAGAUACAUAUUAUUGGUGAUUAAUUCAUAAAUGCUCUCAAUCGGAGGAUCAUCAUGGGGACGAUGAUUGAUCCGGUAAGAUUGAUGUGUGUGCCGCUUCCCUUUUGGGAUGACGAAUCUCGAGUCAUCAGUGUGGGGACACUGGAGCGAACAUGCAGGUGGUUGUUGGAGAACAACGGUACUGAGCGUGACCAACUACGAACAGUUACAUGGAUGUCUACUCAUUCGUCAGUAACUGGUUCGAUGUUGCAGUGGUACAACUGAUCCUUAGA